CUUAUCAUUGUGUGCUAAUUAGUAAAAUGAGAGGUGUUAUAUUAGGCCCAUUAGAGAUUAGGAUAUUUAGUUAAUUUAAUAAAGAGAAAAUAAAAGAGUGAUAGAAAAAAAAAGAAACAGUAGUGGAGAGAAGUUAGCAGAAGAGGAAUUUGAGAACUGUUGUACGAACGAGAGGGAAGGGGAAGAAAACUUCUGGAAUCCGAUUCUUAGAGCAACCUUCGAUCCAAAAUAAUAAGGUAAGGGGGUUUAUC
RNAcentral lists this long non-coding RNA (251 nucleotides) under Lathyrus oleraceus (garden pea). RNAcentral's name for it is "Pisum sativum (pea) long non-coding RNA (PSAT_LNC000661)". Lineage: Eukaryota; Viridiplantae; Streptophyta; Magnoliopsida; Fabales; Fabaceae. The record is from RNAcentral.